This 445-nucleotide ribosomal RNA is filed under the name uncultured Christensenellaceae bacterium. RNAcentral describes it as "bacterial SSU rRNA". It matches the Rfam family "Bacterial small subunit ribosomal RNA", at positions 335 to 795 of the family's 1533-position model. Lineage: Bacteria; Bacillati; Bacillota; Clostridia; Christensenellales; Christensenellaceae. The record is from RNAcentral.
GCCCUACGGGAGGCAGCAGUGGGGAAUAUUGGGCAAUGGGCGCAAGCCUGACCCAGCAACGCCGCGUGAGGGAAGAAGGCCUUCGGGUUGUAAACCUCUGUCCUUGGGGACGAAAAAAAUGACGGUACCCAAGGAGGAAGCUCCGGCUAACUACGUGCCAGCAGCCGCGGUAAUACGUAGGGAGCGAGCGUUGUCCGGAAUUACUGGGCGGAAAGGGUGCGUAGGUGGCCAAGCAAGUCAGAUGGGAAAUCCCCGGGCUUAACUCGGGUGCUGCAUUUGAAACUGCAUGGCUUGAGUGCAGGAGAGGAAAGCGGAAUUCCUAGUGUAGCGGUGAAAUGCGUAGAUAUUAGGAGGAACACCAGUGGCGAAGGCGGCUUUCUGGACUGUAACUGACACUGAGGCACGAAAGCGUGGGGAGCAAACAGGAUUAGAUACCCGUGUAGUC